This 234-nucleotide ribosomal RNA is filed under the name uncultured bacterium. RNAcentral's name for it is "partial 16S ribosomal RNA". It matches the Rfam family "Bacterial small subunit ribosomal RNA", at positions 118 to 350 of the family's 1533-position model. The record is from RNAcentral.
UGAGUAACCUGCCCUUAACUCUGGGAUAAGCCUGGGAAACUGGGUCUAAUACCGGAUAUGACUCCUCAUCGCAUGGUGGGGGGUGGAAAGCUUUUUGUGGUUUUGGAUGGACUUGCGGCCUAUCAGCUUGUUGGUGAGGUAAGUGGCUCACCAAGGCGACGACGGGUAGCCGGCCUGAGAGGGUGACCGGCCACACUGGGACUGAGACACGGUCCAGACUCCUACGGGAGGCAA